CAGGCGGUGCCAUCCCGACACAAUCAUCAGGAUCAAUCUUCAGCCCUAGAGGAUCCUCCUUGAAGGAUGUACUAAUCGUACUCUCCCAAUUGAUGAUCGUCUUCAUACCAUGGGUGUGUAUCAAAAAAAACUUACAGUAUAUGUUAAUAAGCCAUUUAGUAUGUAUUAUUUGCUCAUAUACUUUAUAUUGAUGAAUGCUAU
This 201-nucleotide long non-coding RNA is filed under the name Elaeis guineensis (African oil palm). RNAcentral's name for it is "long non-coding RNA (EGUI_LNC006286)". Lineage: Eukaryota; Viridiplantae; Streptophyta; Magnoliopsida; Arecales; Arecaceae. The record is from RNAcentral.